UUUUUUCAAGAUGAUGCCCUUUUUCAUAGUUAUGUUUAAAUUCAGAAACACAUGAAUUUUACAAGCAUUCUGAGUUGCAUGUGGCCCUUUUCCUGAGCUAUGUAAAGAACUACAACAUCAACAAGAGCUGGCAGAACUAAGAUGAUUGUUCCCGUCGCUCCUUCAUUUGUGUGUGCUAACCGUGCUGACAAGAGGAAGGAGGUGUAUAUAGUUUUCUUGCAUUAUUUCUAGAUGGUUGCUUAAUUCAUUCUGAUUAUUCACAACUAGCAAGCAGCCAAGCACUUUUGUUCCAAAAAGGGUUAGGUAGUGACAGUGUUGUUAUUACCCAGUUCUACACAAAAUUAGAGGAGAAACAUAAAGCUUUGGAAGCAGAGAAGGACGAGGCUGAGGCCAGGAAAAAGGUAGGAAGAACUUACUUCUGAAUUCUGAUAUCUCUCUUGG
RNAcentral lists this long non-coding RNA (441 nucleotides) under Zea mays. RNAcentral's name for it is "long non-coding RNA (ZMAY_LNC001173)". The record is from RNAcentral. Lineage: Eukaryota; Viridiplantae; Streptophyta; Magnoliopsida; Poales; Poaceae.